ACGCUCGACACCUACGGGAGGCAGCGGUGGGGAAUAUUGCACAAUGGGGGAAACCCUGAUGCAGCGACGCCGCGUGAGCGAAGAAGUAUUUCGGUAUGUAAAGCUCUAUCAGCAGGGAAGAAACUGACGGUACCUGACUAAGAAGCACCGGCUAAAUACGUGUCAGCAGCCGCGGUAAUCUGAGCGGGCUGGCAAGGC
This 198-nucleotide ribosomal RNA is filed under the name uncultured bacterium. RNAcentral describes it as "partial 16S ribosomal RNA". It matches the Rfam family "Bacterial small subunit ribosomal RNA", at positions 328 to 539 of the family's 1533-position model. The record is from RNAcentral.